RNAcentral lists this ribosomal RNA (482 nucleotides) under uncultured bacterium. RNAcentral's name for it is "partial 16S ribosomal RNA". It matches the Rfam family "Bacterial small subunit ribosomal RNA", at positions 30 to 507 of the family's 1533-position model. The record is from RNAcentral.
AUUGAACGCUGGCGGCAUGCUUUACACAUGCAAGUCGAACGGUAACAGGUCUUCGGAUGCUGACGAGUGGCGUACGGGUGAGUAACACAUCGGAACGUGCCUAGUAGUGGGGGAUAACUACUCGAAAGAGUAGCUAAUACCGCAUGAGAUCUAAGGAUGAAAGCAGGGGACCUUCGGGCCUUGCGCUACUAGAGCGGCUGAUGGCAGAUUAGGUAGUUGGUGGGAUAAAAGCUUACCAAGCCGACGAUCUGUAGCUGGUCUGAGAGGACGACCAGCCACACUGGGACUGAGACACGGCCCAGACUCCUACGGGAGGCAGCAGUGGGGAAUUUUGGACAAUGGGCGAAAGCCUGAUCCAGCAAUGCCGCGUGCAGGAUGAAGGCCCUCGGGUUGUAAACUGCUUUUGUACGGAACGAAAAGACUCUCUCUAAUAAAGAGGGUUGAUGACGGUACCGGAAGAAUAAGCACCGGCUAACUACGUG